Amphiprion ocellaris (clown anemonefish) is the source of this 7135-nucleotide long non-coding RNA. RefSeq lists it as uncharacterized. The record is from RefSeq and is a predicted model, not a curated record. The transcript is spliced from 4 exons. Lineage: Eukaryota; Metazoa; Chordata; Actinopteri; Pomacentridae.
GCCGGAGUCAUGGAUAAUACUUCACUUGCCAAAUGUGGGUGAAUUCUAUCAAUCAUGACAUAAAAAAUGAGAAUUACUUCCAACUUUUACACCUUUUAGGGCAAUAUUAAGAGUAAAUAAAUCAAACCAGGAGUUACGAGAAAUAUCCAAAUGUAAGUCUAACUUUAUUAGCAGUAAACUCUGACUCCUGACUUUGAGAACAUUUAUAUUUUUUAUAGAUUUUUUUGUUCUUUUAUAUGGAACAAUGGGAUUUAUGCAAUCGAUGAUGCAUUUCACAACAGUGCACCUCAAAUUGAGGCCAGGAAACCUGUAUAGGUGAAUUUUCUUAUGUGUGCAUGUGGUGGGACAAGGUCCUCAACCAUUAUUCUACUGAUUCAUUGGUAACAUUAAAUUCAAAAAGCUAAGUCACUUCCUGUCCUUACUUUCUUUUUGUGAUUGCUGAAAUAGGCAGAUUUGAAUGUUUUUUUGUUUACAAUGUCAUAACACAAGCAGUGCUUUAAGCCUCAGCAUCCAUGUCCAUACGAGGGAAGUGUUGGUGUCAUUAUCCUGGUUGGAUUAGCCCUGGCCACCCCCAGCAAAGCUUACUGUCACAGAUCUUUGUAGAUUUUUACAUGUUUAUGCCAAUCUGACCCGGAACCUCGCUGUGUCUGCACAAGAAAACUCCAGCAACCUCACAACUGUACUCUGGUCAACUUGGCCCUGGUUGGACUGAUGAUGGAUUCACCAUCGCACCUAUUAAACUACCUGCACUGUCCAGGAAUUCAUGGCUACACUUACAGGCUGCAGCCUAGCAGCAGGAGACGGGGCACACCCAGAAAGCUGAGAGCGACGUGAGAUAUGUACGUCUUGGACAUUAUGGCACUUUCAUCGGUUGGAUCUUUCUCAGCACUACUGGCAUGUGUGAGGAUGUGACCUCAGUUUCUACCAGCAAGACAGAAGUGCCCUCAGUCUCUUAAAUAUGCACAUAUUUUGAUUGUUGGACAUUUUCCUUUCUUAACUUCUCUUGGAUCUUGAAUAAUCUUUGACAUGGACUGAUUGGAGUCCAGGCACAGCUGAACUAUUUGACCUGUGACAAACAACUGCAGGAACAAACUCAUGAACCUUUUUUUAUUGCUCUCUUGUCUUAAGGAUGUUGUGAAGUGUUUGUAAAGUUAAAAUCACUGCAAAUAGUAGUUACAUCUUUGUACACAUGUAUGUGGAUGCUCACUUUGACUCCCCCCUGCCAUGCAAGGCACAGAUAAACUCACAGUAUCUGAGCUAUUUAGCAUCACUGAAUCUACAAAAAAUCCUCAACAUCUAUAUCUAACCACAAAAAUCAUUUUUCAUACAUCAGUAGGGUCUUGCAGUAUUUUGUACUGUUUGAGCAACUCUGUACAAUGUCAAACUAUUUUUAUAACCUGUGGUAGUUGCCAUGAAUUGUAAGCAUUGUAUGUAUCAGAAAUGGCUAAGAUAAAUAAAUGCAUGCAUGAAGACAUGUUAUAAUGAGUGUAUUUUAACAACUAGCUGUAAGUACAAUAUAGCUGUCUAUUCAUGAAGAAAACAGGCACACAAUUCCAGAUUUUGAACAGCUGAUGUAUAUCAGCAGGAAGGGUAAACUUGGCCACAGACGUGUCUCUACAUUCUGCCUGUACAGGGCAUCACACCCCACAUGAAGCACCUUAGGAACGAGUCAUGAACACAAGAAACACUGACGUACAGUAAAUGUGACAUAGGUGAAGUUAAUCCACUUUACAAUGACAAGAUUUCCAUUGGCCCAGGGUAUUUAGAGUGUCACUGAGUGAAGGACCUUAAUCAUUCUGGAACAGGUAAAAAUAUCCCUAACCUUAUCUGAACUUAACUUUUUUUUUUUUUUUAAAGUAUUCACCCCCUUUGGAAGUUUCAUUCUUUUGUUGCUCUCCAGCAUUGAAUCAUGGUCAACAUGAUUUGGCUUUUUGACAAGAAUUUACUACAAGGACUCUUUACUGUCAAAUUGAAAAUAGAUUUCUUGAAAGUAUUGUCAGUUAAUGCAAAAAAUUCUAGAUGAUUUAAGUGAUUGCAUAGGUAUUCACGCCUAGUUACAGCCAGCUGGUGUUAGAAAGUGAAUGUGACUCAUAUGAUUGUAGUAUAAAGACACGUGUAUCUCCAAGGUCCAGUUACUGGUGAGUUAGUACUCCUGGCUUUAACUACACCAUUAAGAUAUGGUGAAAACACUCCAAGCAACUCUGUGAAAAUGUAAUUAAAAAGCAAAAGUCAGGAGAUGGAUACAAACACAUUUCUAAUUCAGCGAACAUCACUUGGAGUGCAGUUAAAUCUAUCAUUACUAAAUGGAAGUAAUAUGGCACAUUGAUAAUUCUGCCUAGAACAAGCCAUCCUCAAAAUUUGAGCAACUGUGCAAAAAGAGAUUAGUGAGGGAGGCCACCAAGACAACUAUGACUUCUCUGAAGAAAUUACAAGACACGGCAAGGCAGGACAAAUUUACUUGUAUAGCACAAUACACACACGACAAUUCACGUUGCUUUACAAUGACAAAGAAAUAUUCAGAAAAAUGAUUUAAAGCUAGACACAAAUUAAAAUCAUAGAAAUAAAACAUAAAACUAGACAUUAAGAUCAUAAAAGUGCAUUAAAAGGCAAGAAAAUAGACUGAGCAUCUAAGAGAAAGCUGUAGUAAACAAUCUGGUUUUCGGACCUGAUUUAAAAGAGCUGACAGUUUGAGCAGACCUCAGGCGUUCAGGAAGUUUGUUCCUCGGGUGAGGAGCAUAAUCGCUGAAUGCUGCUUCACUAGUCUUGGUUCUGAUUCUGGGAACACGCAGUAAACCAGUCCCUGAUGACAUGAGUGUUAUGGCCACAGCCUGAGGCUGUGGUCAGCUGCAGUACUCUACUAACACAGUACUUAGACCAAUCUGACCUGAGUCUGUAAUCUCUUUCCUGCACCUGAGCCUUUGCACCCACCGUAACAAUGAGGGCUCUGGAUGCUUCUGAUGGAGCUAAUAACUCCAGGAUGUCUUUUGGUCCAAGAACAUUCAGUGCUUUGUAGACCAAGAGUAAGAUUUUCAACUCUAUCCCUUGACUAACAUGAAGCCAGUGUAGUGAUUUGAGGAUCGGGGUAAUAUUGACCAGUUUCCUGGUGUUAGGACUCUGGCAGCAGUGUUCUGGAUCAGCUGUAGCUUCCCCUACUUCAAUUAAACUCCCCAGUUUGUUCAUUAGUCAUUCCAAGAACGUUCACUAAGGAGCAUUGCUAGAAGCUUUAUUAGAAAGCAGCUCAGCUUAAUUUUUAGGCUUAGCUGUCUAAUGAAACUCCUAGGAAAAGCAUGACCGGCAUGACUCUGACAUCUACACCUAAGCAGAUGUCUGUGUAGAUUCUUGUGUCUGAGAAUCUACACAGACAUCUGCUUAGAUGUAGAUUUCUUAUUUCUUAUCCAUCAUCACCAUGCAUCAAAAGAUUGUACAGCAAAACUGCAGAUGCUGUCUUUUCAUGCUACUAAUAAAAAGUAAAAAGUAAACAAACAUAAAUAAAAACAGGUGCAAUGGACUCAGUAUCUUUAAAGGUCCAAUAUAAUUAAAACGUGUUGUGAUCCAAUAACAGCAAUGAGGAAUUUGACAUCCAGUUAUUCACUACAGAAAUAUAGUCAUGAAGAAAACUCCGCAAACCAGGCUCAGAGGAUAUAAUUUGAUGGUUUGCAUAACAUCAGCAGAGACAUCAUGUUAAUGAAAAUGUGCCCAAGUGAGAGGAUGUAGUUGGAAAACAAAAAAUUGGUCCCAAAACAGAGCCCUGGAGCACACUGUGCUUGACAGAAGAAAAUGAUACGUAACUUCUGACAGAGACACAAGACAUCAUAUUUCAUAGCUACGAUAAGAAAUGUUGUCCCAGAUAUCUCCACCCACUGCCUCAGUCUGUCUAGGCAAAAAACAUGCAAAUGGAGAGAACAUACUUAAUAAAUCAACUCUCAAUGGCAUCAUCAAUAGGAGACACAAAGCAUGGACAUGUGUGCACAGUCUGACGUUUCCUGUUGCUCUGGUGGUUUUAUAACUUGCCUGGGCCAGUUGUAUGAACACAUACAUGGAAUUUAACUCUGAGUUUUUAAAAUUUUUGCUCUCGAAGUGCUUAACCAAAAUAAAACAGAAAUGCAUUUAAACAAGAAACAACAGAUUACUGAAGGAAAAAAAGUGCUUAACUACUAUGUACAACAAGAAUUUGUUUAAAACAGUUUAAAAUAAAUCAGAAUCUUUAGUGUAAAAUUGCAGUGAACAAAAGUUUAGGAGAAAUACUUUUAUUAAUAAAUACACUUAAUACCUGAUAUACAUGGGGCAGAUGAACACUGCAGAGUAAUGGAAUAGAGACCAAGGUUUCUGAGAUAUUCAGUAUAUACAGUGGUUCAGGGUUUCAGUUCAGGAAGAGUUGUUCCUGAAUGAAUUAAAUUUUCAUCAGCGUGAUGGCCUAUGGAAACAAACUGCUCUUGUGUCUGGUUGAUUUGACAUUCAGAGCUCUGCAGUGCCUACCAGAGGGAAGAAGUUGAAACAGUCUGUGUCCAGGGUGCGACCUGACUUGUUAAUAGGCCAUUAGCCAUGUGGGCUGGAGUGACUAUAAAUUCUCCUCUUACAAAGAGGUUACGCUUCUUCUAGUGACACAACACAAUGAAUAUAAUUUCUCAUCACUAAAUGAUGACCUUAUUAUCUCAUUAUCUUCAGAAUUCUUUUCUUCACAAAAAAUCAGACACCAGGAUUCUCAGUGAGUUAAAAUUACACUCGUUUAUCAGGAGCAUCAGUUAGAUCUUUUAUCUAGGCUCCCUAAGAGACCUUUAUCAAGAAUAUGUCAAGUUCAGUAAUCAAUAAUUAAUCAAAUCUAUUUGUAUUGUUCAGUCUCAUUAUGAAAGUCGUAAACUCUGAUUUCCCUCCAGUUGAAGGAAAUGAAGAAACACACUGUAGAACCAAUGAUAAUUAUAUACAAACAUUUAUUAACUAAUACUACGAACAAACGAUGAACAACAAUGAUGUAACAACAGCAGACAGUGAAAAAAACUGAUGAAUAAAUGCAGAUAAACUAAUGAAUGCGAUGAAUUUAGAAUUAUUUUGAAAUUGGGAAAUCAAUUGUAAUUUGUACAUUAACUCGUUUAGCAGAAGGAAAAAGAUACUUGCGCAGCCUUUGGAGGAGAGAUGGGAGGCUGCUGCAGGAUGUGUAGCUGAGAUGAUCUGCUGAAUGAGUUGGUUCAGGAACGCAGCGACAAGGAGGCACUUUGGCCGGAACUGAGCCGAACUGAAAACACUAAGAGUUGAAGCUCAUAGUUAUAAAAAAAAUAUUCAUGCUGUUGUAGUAUUAAAGAUAAUUUAAGGAGUCCAACUUUAAGCAAAACAUAGGUAACAAAGCCCUAGUUCAAAGUGAAGCCAUACGUUUCUUUGAGCCAUCAUAAAAGAACCCUUUUUUAAGCCUUUGUUUUAGUUUUCACAAAACAGCCCAUUUCAAAAGUGAGGUGUAAACAUAAGAAUAAACUUACAAAUUGUGGACUUAAGGCUACAUGAAAGUAAAUUUAUAACAUAGCUAAAACACAAGUACAUACAUUCAAUAAUAAGCAAAGGAAGUAUAUAUGCUUAGAGUGAAAAGCCUCUCUGUGCCUUUAUGGCUGUGGUCUGUGACAGAGAGAAGGGGGUGUUUGUGUCUUGUUUGUUCUUCUUAACAAACACUUCAGAUUUGAUUCUUCUUCCAUACUGGUCCUGAUCAGUCUGGCAUCAGAGACUGAGUCCAGAUCGUCACUCUAGUGAUGCUGCAUUUCCUUAAUAUCCUAAUUUAAAUUGUUCAGUCCAUUCCUGUAUAGUGAGUUCUGUGUGUUAGGAAGGGAGAUUAGAAGAUCACUGUGAAGAAUGCAAAUCCUCUUCUGAAGAGAUGUGGUUUUCCUCGCCCUUAUCAGAUUCUGGUGGAGGUAGUAGGCAUCCUGUGGUCUCCAAUGAGCCGUGAGUGGUCCUUUAGUAGUAAACAAAUGACUGGCAGAUGUUCCAUUUCCAAUGUGAGUUUUGGGUGAGCUGUCUUCUGAAAUGUGUCUUACCAAAUGAAUAGCUGUGAGAAAGGGUCUCUGGAUUCUCUGCAUGUUGCUCUGUAAUGUUCUGCUCCUCAGUUCACUACAAAUAAUAUUCACAUCCAUAUAGUCCUCUGUGGCUUCACGGUUCAUGUCCCAGCCUGGGCCAUGGAUUUUUCUGUGUGAAGUUUGCAUUUUCUCCCUUUGUGUGUGUGGAUUUCCACAAGGUUCUCUGGCUUCCUCCCACAGUCCAAAAACAUGCUGAGGUUAAUUGGUGAUUGUAAAUUGUCAGCAGGUGUGAAUGUGAGUGUGUUUGUCUGUCUCUCUGUCCAGACUGUCCCCCACCUUUGCCUUAAAUCAACUGGGAAAGACUCCGGCACCCCCGCGACUCUAAUGAGGAUUAAAGGCCUUAAAGGAUCAGUAUGUAAGAUUUAGUGGCAUCUAGUGGUCGCGUUGCAGAUUGCAACUAACUCCCUCAGCCUGACAUUUCUUAGCGUAUAGGGAACUAUGGCGGUCACAAGUGAAAGAACCUCUCUACAGUCAAAAUUGCGAGCUCUCCAAGCAGAUUGAAGGGCUUAUUCUACAUUAACAAAAACUCUGUGAUUUUUAUUUCUGAUGAUUUUGCACUAAUGAAAAAGUAGUUAUGAAUAUCAGGCACGUGAUGCCCAAAGGGACCUUUUGUCAAAGUUGUUUUUUUUAAUCUAGUUUAAUUUUAUUUUUUAUUUGUAAGUGCGUGUGCGUGUGUGCGUGUGUGUGUGUGUGUGUGUGUGGCCCAAAAUAAUAAAUAAAGCAAAAAUAAUAAUAAUUCAGAUCUACCUUCGGUCGGUCACAUGAUCUACGUAGACGUCCCUCACUGCCCUGACGUGUCCUGACGUCCUGUAGCUCAGUGCUAGCUAGCGCCGCUAGUCGAGAAACCGGAGACCCGAGGGAGGACUUCAACAACUGAUGGUCCUGAUGGUGAGGAGGUUCUGCAGCGGGAUUCGUUUGUGCACGGUGUACUUUUGCAAGAUGACUGACGAAGUGAAAUGUGGACAGAAUCCUGUCAUGCAUGUUGAGGAAUUACCUUGACCAGCCGACCAGAGGAGGAACAGCACAGGUGCAAGCCAUGAACCAGGUGAAUCCGCAGCCUAUCGCAGAGUGGGUGGCUGUGA